GCCGGGCGUGGUGGUGCACGCCUGUAAUCCCAGCUACUCGGGAGGCUGAGGCAUGAGAAUCACUUGAACACGGGAGGCGGAGGUUGCAGUGAGCUGAGAUCACACCACUGCCUUGCAGCCUGGGUAACAGAGUGAGACUCUGUCUCAA
This is a non-coding RNA of Homo sapiens (human), 148 nucleotides long. It matches the Rfam family "Metazoan signal recognition particle RNA". From Rfam's summary of the family: The signal recognition particle (SRP) is a universally conserved ribonucleoprotein. The record is from Rfam. Lineage: Eukaryota; Metazoa; Chordata; Mammalia; Primates; Hominidae.